UAUAAGAGUGUGGAGCUUUGUUUAACGCAACUCCAAACAAAGUAAGAACUCAAGCUCCGCUUGAUGUACGCACUUAACAAAAUUCAAAACUAAACAACCCCUGUCUCGGCAGGCUCUUGUGGAGUCCACUGCAACCAAGAAAGCGGCUGAUUCGGCAAAAGAUGGAGACUUUGGCCGUGAUCAUGUUGCUUGUGCACUAAAGGUUGAAACUUGACAAGGUUCUCGUGAACAAAAGUUUUGGGUCCUUCAGAAUCAUUGGUGGUCACGUCUUUCUGCUGCUGGAUGGGAAGAACCGCUUUGCGAGUGGCGUCUGAGGCUGCAAACUGUGGACGAGGGUAAAAGAAAUCAGUGGGGAAGAAGUUGUACUGAAAGCCAGCCAUUUCUGAAAGUUCCCAAAGUCGAUGUAAAAUGUUUAGGAGUUAAGAAAGCACUGGCUGAGAAGAGGAGAAAACGCACCUAAUCUUUGUCUUAUGGAUAUACCUCUCACAACUUCACGUCUACUUAUAUAGAGGAGGAGAGUUUGCAUGAUUGGAAGUUGCUGCAUCGUGCCUUUCAACAUCCUAUAGUUGGAAUGACUGUUUCGAAAGCUUGAACAAGAAGUUCCACAUUUCUUUUCCGGGCAGGAGUUAGUUUUGCAACAACCUGUUGAAGUGCAUAAUCAAGCAUCCAGUCCUCAGAAUUUUUUCUCUGAUCCAUCUCUUGAUGCCUUAAAUGAACUUUUUCACCUUCAGGGUCUGGCUCCAAAGGCAGAUAACGAGGCCCCUUUGGAUUAAAUUCCCUUACUUUUUCCAAUGCCUUGAUGAAUCUUUUAAGCAAGAUCCACUUUUUCAGAGUGCUCCAGCUACUUGGCAUUUCCUUGUUUGAUUUCUUUCCCCCAUUCAACUUGGUUUUCUCUUUUUCUUGGGUACUGAUAUUACCAGAUGUAAGCCAUUUUUCUCCUGGAGCUGUUCUGUGGGAUUCCAUGACACUGUUCUUGCAAUUUGAGAUGAAUGGUUUUCCUCCCUCACCCACUUUCUCUUCUGAGAGUCCCUUGUCUCGAAUCAUCUCACUAGUGCUAAAUUCAUCAUUAGUUGAGUGGUCCUGAAUUUCCGGAAGAAGGAUUUCAUCAAUCGCCUCUUCUACCAGCUUAAUGGCUUCAGUUCGGUGGAGAUCAACCUUUUGCUCAUCUGCUUCAUUAUCCCGGUCCAUAUCUUGAUUCAUUUCUGAGAAGUUUUGACUUAAACUGGAAAUGCCCAUUUCUGGCAAUGAGUUGGCAUCAUCCACUGGUUCUUCUUUAUCUGCUUCAUUGAGAUGUACUGUUUGAGAGUUCUGAACUUGGAGUAAUUACUUUGGAGGCUUUUCCAUUCUCUCCAACUUCUUCAUGACAGGUGCUUACAAUGUUCUCUGGCUUCAAGGAGAAUUUAUUACAUGAGCUGGGAUCUUUGAUCUCUGAUGAACAACUAAUGAUGGAAUCGGGUUGACCUUCAGUGAGAAGUAAUUUGCUGUCGACCAUAUCAAUAUUGAUGGCAACAGUUUGCUUUUCCUUCGAGUCUUCACCAGUGUCUUGACAGUCCGUUAUAUGUUGUUCUGCUUUAAUGGAACAACAUUCCAAAGUUGUUUCUGUGAGCUCAGAAAAUUUCAUUGCAGGUAGCUGUUUGUUCGUGAGAAAAUCAUUGGCUUGGUCUGGAUAACCUUGGAAUAUUUCAGCUGACUCUUCAUAAUUACUUUCUUGACCUGCUCCUCCUGUGCUUUGAGUUGAAGAACCAUUACUGGCUUGAAUGGGAUUUGCUCGAGUACAAAUUGCUGCAUUGGAGCUCUGGCUAAUUUCGAUUUCUGACAGUGGAAGAACUGUCUCAAAAGCUUCUACAAGCAGCGCUACUUUUUGUUUUUGAGCUGGAGCUAGUUUAGAAAUGACCUGUUGAAGUGCACUAUCAAGCAUCCAUUCCUCGGUGUUUUUUCUCUUGUCUGUUGUUUGGUGCCUUAGAUGGACUUUUACUGCUUCUGGGUCAGGCUUCAAGGACAGAUAUCGUGGCCCCCGGGGGUUGAAAUCUCCCACCUUCUCCAAUGCCUUCACAAAUUUCUUGAGGAUGAUCAACUUUUUCAAAUAGCUCCAGCUCUUGGGCAUUUUCUGGUCAGAUUCACUUUUCACAUUUGAUGCUGUUCUCUCCUCCAUGGGAGUGCUAUUACUAUCAGCUUUGAGCCAUGUUUCUUCUGGCUCCUGUACCAUACUGUCUCUAGCAGGCUCACUGUAAGCUGAGAUGCUCCAUUCCUGGCACUCACCAUGACUCUUUUCUAAGAGGUCGUGGUCUGAACUGAUGCUACUAGCAAUUGAUUGAUCCUCCAUUGAGCGGUCUUGAAAUUCUUGCAGAAGGAUAUCAUCAAAUGCUUUUUGUACCAGCUGAAUGGCAUCAAUCUGGCUGAGCUCAUUCUUUUGGUGGUUUGCAUCAUGAUUUUCCUUGACCAUGUCCUUGCCAAUUUCAGAAAAGCCCUCAGAAGAACCGCAGUCAUUAGUACCAAGCAAGGUGCUUGUAUCUUCCACCUGUUCUUCAUCCAAUCCAUCUAGUGGAACCUGGUUUCCAACUUUUCUA
Juglans microcarpa x Juglans regia is the source of this 2567-nucleotide long non-coding RNA. RefSeq lists it as uncharacterized. Lineage: Eukaryota; Viridiplantae; Streptophyta; Magnoliopsida; Fagales; Juglandaceae. The record is from RefSeq and is a predicted model, not a curated record. The transcript is spliced from 4 exons.